RNAcentral lists this ribosomal RNA (468 nucleotides) under uncultured bacterium. RNAcentral describes it as "partial 16S ribosomal RNA". It matches the Rfam family "Bacterial small subunit ribosomal RNA", at positions 28 to 507 of the family's 1533-position model. The record is from RNAcentral.
GACGAACGCCGGCGGCGUGCUUAACACAUGCAAGUCGAACGGAAAGGCCCUGCUUUUGUGGGGUGCUCGAGUGGCGAACGGGUGAGUAACACGUGAGUAACCUGCCCUUGACUUUGGGAUAACUUCAGGAAACUGGGGCUAAUACCGGAUAGGAGCUCCUGCUGCAUGGUGGGGGUUGGAAAGUUUCGGCGGUUGGGGAUGGACUCGCGGCUUAUCAGCUUGUUGGUGGGGUAGUGGCUUACCAAGGCUUUGACGGGUAGCCGGCCUGAGAGGGUGACCGGCCACAUUGGGACUGAGAUACGGCCCAGACUGCUACGGGAGGCAGCAGUGGGGAAUAUUGCACAAUGGGCGGAAGCCUGAUGCAGCAACGCCGCGUGCGGGAUGACGGCCUUCGGGUUGUAAACCGCUUUCGCCUGUGACGAAGCGUGAGUGACGGUAAUGGGUAAAGAAGCACCGGCUAACUACGUG